Molecule: long non-coding RNA, 286 nt
Organism: Amphimedon queenslandica
Lineage: Eukaryota; Metazoa; Porifera; Demospongiae; Haplosclerida; Niphatidae
Exons: 3
Source: RefSeq, a predicted model, not a curated record
CUACAGCUGAAAAAUUAGAUCAAGAGAAACGUAAUGCUAUGAUCAGUGGUAAUGAUAUCAAAGGAACCAAUGAUGUACACAGUGCUGCUACUGGACCAGCUCCUCCUACAGGCACAAAAAAGCCAUUGAUGGGAUGUCCUCCACUCUCUUCUAUUGGAUUAAUGGAUAUACCAGAUGAUAGACCAAAAGUAUCUGAAUUGAUAGAGUUUCAUGAGUUAUUAAUCAAAGGACAACUGGAGGGAUCUCUACCACUGCUUCAUGCUGAUACUGUAAGAAAGAUUAGAAA